UCAGACGUGGUGCAUGGUACCGGUGCACGUCAAAUUCGCAUUGAGGAUUCUCGCACAUCUGAAAAAGCUGAAGACCAGGGUUCGACUCCCUGCAUCUGAA
This is a non-coding RNA of Mycena rebaudengoi, 100 nucleotides long. Lineage: Eukaryota; Fungi; Basidiomycota; Agaricomycetes; Agaricales; Mycenaceae. The record is from the annotation of a GenBank genome assembly.